AGUAACACGUGGGUAAUCUACCCUCAGGACAGGGAUAACCCCGGGAAACUGGGGAUAAUACCUGAUAGGUGGAGAGGUCUGGAAUGAUUCUUCACUUAAAGCUCCGGCGCCUGAGGAUGAGCCUGCGCCUGAUUAGGUUGUUGGCGGUGUAAUGGACCACCAAGCCGAAGAUCAGUACGGGCAGUGAGAGCUGUAGCCCGGAGAUGGGGGCUGAGACACGGCCCCAGGCCCUACGGGGCGCAGCAGGCGCGAAAACUCCGCAAUGUUCGAAAGAACGACGGGGGAACUCCAAGUGCACUUGCGCAAGCAAGUGGUUUUUAGCAGUGUAAAUAGCUGUUAGAAUAAGAGCUGGGUAAGACCGGUGCCAGCCGCCGCGGUAACACCGGCAGCUCGAGUGGUGACCGCUUUUAUUGGGCCUAAAGCGUUCGUAGCCGGUUUGGUAAGUCUUUGGGUAAAUCCUUCGGCUUAACCGAAGGACUUCCGAAGAUACUGCCAGACUUGGAGUUGAGAGAAGUCAGAGGUACCUCUGGGGUAGGGGUGAAAUCCUAUAAUCCUGGGGGGACCACCAGUGGCGAAGGCGUCUGACUAGAGCAAGCUCGACGGUGAGGGACGAAAGCCAGGGGCGCGAACGGGAUUAGAUACCCCGGUAGUCCUG
Molecule: ribosomal RNA, 655 nt
Filed under: uncultured archaeon
Lineage: Archaea
Description: bacterial SSU rRNA
Rfam family: Archaeal small subunit ribosomal RNA
Source: RNAcentral